Molecule: long non-coding RNA, 799 nt
Organism: Piliocolobus tephrosceles (Ugandan red Colobus)
Lineage: Eukaryota; Metazoa; Chordata; Mammalia; Primates; Cercopithecidae
Exons: 5
Source: RefSeq, a predicted model, not a curated record
ACCGCGAAGCCUUCAGCGACGUCACAGUGACGCUACAGUGUUUGCAGCUGAGUUGAUUUCUCCUCAGGGUGGAGCCUGGUAACGGCGACUUCUCCACCAUGUUCUGUGUGUUGCUGGCUGGAGAAGGGUAAUUGACAAACUCCGACCCAGCACAGUGUUUCUGUGGGUCAAAACUAGAAAACUAUGUCCGGGCGCCGCCGAGGCGGAAGAAACCCUUCAGGCCAGGAGUUAAAGAGAAGUCUGGUUAACAUGGCGCGACCCCAUCUGUGAAGCCCCACCUCAGCUUCCCAGGUACUUGAACCCCAAGGUUCAAGGCUGCAAUGAGCUAUGAGCCCAUCACAGCACUGCAUCCUGCCAGACUGAGCUCAAGCUCUUGGACUCACUGAGGCAGUAAAAGUACCAUAUCCUGUGUGAAUCAAACCCCGAGUUCCUGUAUGUAGAAGCCUUGCCAGACAGGAUCCCCUUUCAAAGCCCUUCUCGUUUGGAAUUCCAUGACUGGAAAGGAUCCUUCGUGAGAGUAAUGAAAUCAAGUUUGUUGUUAAAAACUUCGCAGUCCCCAAAAAGACCAUGAAGUCCUGAGAGUAAUGAAAAGCUUCCUGACAUUGAAGUCACUGUGGAAGCUGAAUCUACCAUGAAAGAUUUCAGAGUCCAGGAAGAGACUGACUGAGCAACAUCCUAUUCAGUUCUCAGAAAUAGAGAAGAAGAUGUGAUGAUGGAAGAAGAGGUCAGAGAGGGAGAUUUGAAGAUGUUGCAGUUCUGGCCUUCAAGAUGGAGUCGGGGCCAUCUUCAAGGUGAGUCA